Molecule: long non-coding RNA, 409 nt
Organism: Oncorhynchus tshawytscha (Chinook salmon)
Lineage: Eukaryota; Metazoa; Chordata; Actinopteri; Salmoniformes; Salmonidae
Source: Ensembl
UAAGAGGGUUAGUGGGUUAGUGCACUAUAUGGCCUCCGAGGUGUUUAGAGACGUUGUUGACUCGGUUAAGAGGGUUAGGGUUAGUGCACUAUAUGGCCUCCGAGGUGUUUAGAGACGUUGUUGACUCGGUUAAGAGGGUUAGGGUUAGUGCACUAUAUGGCCCCCGAGGUGUUUAGAGACGUUGUUGACUCAGUUAAGAGGGUUAGGGUUAGUGCACUAUAUGGCCCCCGAGGUGUUUAGAGACGUUGUUGACUCAGUUAAGAGGGUUAGGGUUAGUGCACUAUAUGGCCUCCGAGGUGUUUAGAGACGUUGUUGACUCGGUUAAGAGGGUUAGGGUUAGUGCACUAUAUGGCCUCCGAGGUGUUUAGAGACGUUGUUGACUCGGUUAAGAGGGUUAGGGUUAGUGCAC